This 1362-nucleotide ribosomal RNA is filed under the name uncultured bacterium. RNAcentral describes it as "bacterial SSU rRNA". It matches the Rfam family "Bacterial small subunit ribosomal RNA", at positions 28 to 1381 of the family's 1533-position model. The record is from RNAcentral.
AUUGAACGCUGGCGGCAGGCCUAACACAUGCAAGUCGAGCGGUAGCACAGAGAGCUUGCUCUCGGGUGACGAGCGGCGGACGGGUGAGUAAUGUCUGGGAAACUGCCUGAUGGAGGGGGAUAACUACUGGAAACGGUAGCUAAUACCGCAUAACGUCGCAAGACCAAAGUGGGGGACCUUCGGGCCUCAUGCCAUCAGAUGUGCCCAGAUGGGAUUAGCUAGUAGGUGGGGUAACGGCUCACCUAGGCGACGAUCCCUAGCUGGUCUGAGAGGAUGACCAGCCACACUGGAACUGAGACACGGUCCAGACUCCUACGGGAGGCAGCAGUGGGGAAUAUUGCACAAUGGGCGCAAGCCUGAUGCAGCCAUGCCGCGUGUGUGAAGAAGGCCUUCGGGUUGUAAAGCACUUUCAGCGGGGAAGAAGGCGGUGAGGUUAAUAACCUUGUCGAUUGACGUUACCCGCAGAAGAAGCACCGGCUAACUCCGUGCCAGCAGCCGCGGGUAAUACGGAAGGGGCCAGGCGUUAAUCCGAAUUACUGGGCGUAAAGCGCACGCAGGCGGUCUGUCAAGUCGGAUGUGAAAUCCCCGGGCUCAACCUGGGAACUGCAUUCGAAACUGGCAGGCUAGAGUCUUGUAGAGGGGGUAGAAUUCCAGGUGUAGCGGUGAAAUGCGUAGAGAUCUGGAGGAAUACCGGUGGCGAAGGCGGCCCCCUGGACAAAGACUGACGCUCAGGUGCGAAAGCGUGGGGAGCAAACAGGAUUAGAUACCCUGGUAGUCCACGCCGUAAACGAUGUCGAUUUGGAGGUUGUGCCCUUGAGGCGUGGCUUCCGGAGCUAACGCGUUAAAUCGACCGCCUGGGGAGUACGGCCGCAAGGUUAAAACUCAAAUGAAUUGACGGGGGCCCGCACAAGCGGUGGAGCAUGUGGUUUAAUUCGAUGCAACGCGAAGAACCUUACCUGGUCUUGACAUCCACAGAACUUUCCAGAGAUGGAUUGGUGCCUUCGGGAACUGUGAGACAGGUGCUGCAUGGCUGUCGUCAGCUCGUGUUGUGAAAUGUUGGGUUAAGUCCCGCAACGAGCGCAACCCUUAUCCUUUGUUGCCAGCGGUUAGGCCGGGAACUCAAAGGAGACUGCCAGUGAUAAACUGGAGGAAGGUGGGGAUGACGUCAAGUCAUCAUGGCCCUUACGACCAGGGCUACACACGUGCUACAAUGGCAUAUACAAAGAGAAGCGACCUCGCGAGAGCAAGCGGACCUCAUAAAGUAUGUCGUAGUCCGGAUUGGAGUCUGCAACUCGACUCCAUGAAGUUGGAAUCGCUAGUAAUCGUAGAUCAGAAUGCUACGGUGAAUACGUUCCCGGGCCU